GACGUAGGAGGCGAGCGUUGUCCGGAGUCACUGGGCGUAAAGGGCGCGCAGGCGGUCGUUCAAGUCGAGUGUGAAAGCCCCCGGCUCAACUGGGGAGGGUCACUCGAUACUGAUCGACUCGAAGGCAGGAGAGGGAAGUGGAAUUCCCGGUGUAGUGGUGAAAUGCGUAGAUAUCGGGAGGAACACCAGUGGCGAAGGCGACUUCCUGGCCUGUUCUUGACGCUGAGGCGCGAAAGCUAGGGGAGCAAACGGG
RNAcentral lists this ribosomal RNA (253 nucleotides) under uncultured bacterium. RNAcentral describes it as "partial 16S ribosomal RNA". It matches the Rfam family "Bacterial small subunit ribosomal RNA", at positions 524 to 776 of the family's 1533-position model. The record is from RNAcentral.